Molecule: ribosomal RNA, 470 nt
Filed under: uncultured bacterium
Lineage: Bacteria
Description: bacterial SSU rRNA
Rfam family: Bacterial small subunit ribosomal RNA
Source: RNAcentral
GACGAACGCUGGCGGCGCGCCUAACACAUGCAAGUCGAACGGAGUUGUGUUGAAAGCUUGCUGGAUAUACAACUUAGUGGCGGACGGGUGAGUAACACGUGAGUAACCUGCCUCUCAGAGUGGAAUAACGUUUGGAAACGAACGCUAAUACCGCAUAACGUGAGAAGAGGGCAUCCUCUUUUUACCAAAGAUUUAUCGCUGAGAGAUGGGCUCGCGGCCGAUUAGGUAGUUGGUGAGAUAACAGCCCACCAAGCCGACGAUCGGUAGCCGGACUGAGAGGUUGAUCGGCCACAUUGGGACUGAGACACGGCCCAGACUCCUACGGGAGGCAGCAGUGGGGAAUAUUGCACAAUGGAGGAAACUCUGAUGCAGCGACGCCGCGUGAGUGAAGAAGUAUUUCGGUAUGUAAAGCUCUAUCAGCAGGGAAGAUAAUGACGGUACCUGACUAAGAAGCACCGGCUAAAUACGUG